AUAGCCACACUCAGACCCCUUGUGGAGCCCAAGAUUGUCAUAAAGAGGAUCAAGAAGUUCAUCAUCGGGACAGAUCGAUAUGUCAAAAUUAAGUGUAACUGGUGGAAACCCAGAGGUAUUAACAACAGGGUAUGCAGAGGAUUCAAGGGCCAGACUUGAUGUCCAACACUGGUUAUAGGAGCAACAAGAAGACAAAGCACAUGCUGCCCAUGGCUUCUGGAAGUUCCUAGUAUCCAGUGUCAAGGAGCUGGAUGUGCUGCUGAUGUGCAACAAAUCUUACUGGGCUGAGAAUGCUCACAAUGUUUUCUCAAAGAAGAACCACACAGCCAUCAUGGAAAGAGCAGCCUAGCUCAUCAUCAGAGUCACCAAUCCUAAUGCCAGGCUGCACAGCAAAGAAAAUGAAUAG
This 406-nucleotide long non-coding RNA is filed under the name Homo sapiens (human). RNAcentral's name for it is "non-protein coding lnc-CEP57-3:1". The record is from RNAcentral. Lineage: Eukaryota; Metazoa; Chordata; Mammalia; Primates; Hominidae.